This 2247-nucleotide long non-coding RNA is filed under the name Homo sapiens (human). RNAcentral describes it as "HSALNT0311376". The record is from RNAcentral. Lineage: Eukaryota; Metazoa; Chordata; Mammalia; Primates; Hominidae.
GGUGGUGCAUGCCUGUCCCAGCUACUCAGGAGGCUGAGGCACGAGAAUUACUUGAAUCUGGGAGGUGGAGGCUGCAGUGAGCUGAGAUGCUGAGAUCAUGCCACUGCACUCUAGCCUGGACUAUAGAGCAAGACCCUGUCUCAAAAAAAAAUAGCAAUUUUGCUGGUUCCUGCUCCUUUCCUGGGAGUUUCUCAAGACUCAGUCUCCAGGAUUAUUUUCUUCUCAUUCUGUAUUCUUUUCCUAGGUAAUCUCAUCCAUGCCUACGUCUUCUGUUUUAUUCACAGAAGCUCUCAAAUACAGGGUUCAGGCUUCCCCUCUUGAUCUGUAGACCUAGAGAAUUGUGUUUUUCAUCUUUCAAGUGUCAUAUAGGCACCUCACAUUUACAGGGUUUCAAGCAGAGCUCCUUAUCUUCCCCUACCAAACCAUCAACUCCUCAAGCAUUUCUCAUCUCGGCACUCCCCACUCAUCCAGGUGAGCAAGCCAGAAACCUGAGGGUUGCCUUUGAUAGUCUUUCCCCCAUUAUACACGAUCAAUCAGUCACUAAUUACUGCUGAUUUUAGCCUCUUAAUCGUCUCUGCAAUAUGUACUUCCUUCUCUCUCAGCCACCAUCUUGGUCUGAGCCAGGAUUUCUCAGUUGGAGCACUAUUGAUAUUUCAGGUCAGAUGAUUGUUGAGGGAACUGCCCUGUAUAUUGUAGGAUGUUUAGUAGCAUCCUUGACCUUUCCCUACUAGUUGCCAGUAACAUCCUCCCACACAUGGUGUGACAACCAAGAAUGUCUCAAGACAUUGCCAAGUGUCCUCAGAGGAGUAAAAUUUCCCUGGUGAGAACCACUGGUCUAAGCUACCAUGCACACUUUUCUGGAUCUUGGCAACGGUCUCACACAUCUCUCUGUGUCCAUUUUCUUCCUCUCUGAUCCAUUUUCCCAAGCCAACAGGCCCCAUCUCUUCAAAACCCAGAUCUCUCUGUGUCAAAACUCUCUGUAAAACACUCUUCUAUGCUGUCCAUUUCUUAGUGGAUUCACAAUCAGAUUCUCAAUGUGACCUGGAAGGCCCUGCAAGGUAUAUUCUCUAUCUCUCUUUCCAGUCUCUAUUAACCCAUACUACUUCUUACUUCAUGCUCUGAAGACAAACCAGCCUUCUUUCAGUUUUUCAAAUAUAUCAUGUUUACUCCUGCCAUAGGACCUUUGUACAUUAUUUUACUAAUUAGCACUUGUUUAUACUUUUUUUCUCACUUCAGUCAUUUCACUGAUACUUCCCCGGCAUCCCCUAAUCUGGAUCAUACAUCCAAACUGGGUCAAGUCCCUAAAUUAUGUGCUUUUAAAGCAGGCAUUCCUUUCUUUCAGCUAGAGUUUCAUUACAGUCGUUGUUGAGCAAAUGACCCCUGUUGCUUAUCACCAAAGCAGCAGUCCCAGGAUGUUAACUUACUGUAUGGUUUGGAGAUGUCCAUGUCACCAAGAAAGAUGAUUCACACAGGCACUGGAUGGAAAACACUUUACUCAUAUAGAGAAGAGAUGGAACAGGAUUAGCUUCAGUGAUGACUGUGUGCCCCCAUGGCAGUGGGUCUUGACCUCUAGCUGAUGCAGGGAGAUGGAAUGCAUACACUGCUCUGUUGCUGCAGGUGAAGAUCCUCAACCCAUCCCCCUGGGGCCAGAACUAUAGAAAGCUGGAGGUGCACUUGAUGGCCAUUGACCCAUGCGCUUAAGAACAAAGAAGUACACGUGAAACCCGGAACGGGGAAAGUUAUUACAAAGCAGAGAUGUGCCUAGCACAGGCUAUGAUGACUCUUUAUCUCUGUGCAAGAAAAUGUUCCAGGCCCAAGGCUGCUCUUAUGUAACGAUGCAGGGGGUGAGAAGCUGUGCACAACUGCCUUUCAUAACAGGAAUUCUCUCGUUAGUCUUUCUCUGUCCACUAGACAGUAAACCACGUGCAAGCAGAAAUCAUGCUUUUCUUACAUCACUUUUUGCAUUCUCAGUGCUUAGCACUGUUAACUGUCUAGUGAGCACUCAGUAAAUAUGUGUUGAGUGAAUAGGAUGCUCUUUUAUAGAUUAAGAAUAUUAACCAUUUUACUACCUUAUAUGAUAAAUACUUUUCUCCAGUUAUCUAUUUAAGACUCAACAUUUUACAAGUGACUGCUAUCUCUCUGAUUGUAUGUUGAGGCUUGUAGUAUUGGAGAUAAUUCAUAGCUAACUAUAGACUAGAGGGACAACCACGUUAUCAGAGAAUGUUAUACUGGUAGUUAGGAAACCUG